AUAUGAAUCACCUACACAUCUUAUUAAAAUGCAGAUUCUGAUUUGGUAGGUCUGGAGUGGAGCCAGAGAUUGUGCUUCUAACAAGCUGCUGCUUGGUUGAAGA
This 103-nucleotide microRNA precursor is filed under the name Marmota monax (woodchuck). The record is from RNAcentral. Lineage: Eukaryota; Metazoa; Chordata; Mammalia; Rodentia; Sciuridae.